Anser cygnoides (Swan goose) is the source of this 2690-nucleotide long non-coding RNA. The record is from Ensembl. NCBI's taxonomy places the organism in Eukaryota, Metazoa, Chordata, Aves, Anseriformes, Anatidae.
CCGGGGGCGGGGAGAGGGGCGGGGCUUUCCGCCGAAAGGGGGCGGGGCGCGCGGAGGAGGCGGGGCGAGCGCAGGGGAGGCUGGCGAGCAGAGAGUGCCCUUGUGUCGCCAGCCGGCGAGCGGCUGGGAGCGAGCAGCCGCCCCGCGCCGCCAGCGGGACGGGACGGGACAGCACGGCACGGGACAGCACGGCGCGGGGCGGGACAGGCCGGGCCGCAGGGACAGCCGGACCGACCCGCCGGUAGGGGCGAGGGGAGCCAGCGGGGGCAGCCGGCACCGCUCGGUGGAGGGAAGCAGCCCGGCGGCGGCAGAGCCGGCGGGGAGAGCUGCUCCCCCCACUUCCCUCCCCAAUCCACCCCCGCGACCCCGGCCCUCCUCCUCCUCCUCCUCCUCACCCCACUGGAUACAGCGAGGGAGACACUGCGGCGGCGGAGGCGGCGGCGGCGGCUCCUGCGGGGGGAAGGAAGCGCCCGGAGAGCGGAGCGGCGGGAGGCUGCGGAUCUGCGUGCCUGGCGCCCACCCAGCCCGAGGGGAGCCCCCAGGAUGCGGCUCAAGCCCGGCGCGCUCCUGCGCUUCUACAGCCUCUGCGGGAUCCUCAUGCAAGUGUCCAAAGUGCUCUCAUUACCUGGAUUACAGAGUCAUAAAAUCAACUUGUAUCAAUGGAAAAUCCCACAGAUACACAUCAAAAUGAAACUUUGGAGGACAUAUCUCAUUAUCAAGCAAGAGGUUUUCUAGCCUUUGGAUAUUUUACAGUUGUUUGGAUCUGCAGUAUCAAUUCUGCUUGAUCCAAUGUUGUACAUAUAUAGGUGAAUAUAUAGCAAAGAAGCAUCUCUUUAAGUGAAUUUACUUCUCUCCCCUGAUUCUGAUUUCACCUGAAAACAAAGAAUUGCAGAGAAAUUCUUUGAGAUAAAAUAAUUAUUUGAGAAAGCUGAUGCCAGGUAAGGCCAAGGUAUCUUCAGGCUAACAAUAUCGAUUAGCGUUGUUAAAAUUUGAUAGCUAAUAGUUUAACGUUUUUUUUUGCCUUAAGGAUUUGAGAUUUUUCGUAGAAAUCCUUUGGUUUUAACAUGAUAGCCGCAUUAUUAAUUAACAGAAAUUGGAAAAAGUGACUUCAACUAACUGCUAGCUGCAUAAUUUAUUAAUUUAUAGACAAUGUAAAUACUUCUGGGUGUAUGCCAAGGAAUUAAUAAUUACUGAAAUAACAUCACUGAACUUUCAUAUCAAGGAGAUGCAGUAAUACUUUAUUACUACGUUUGAAUUAAAGUGCAAAUUUAACAUCCUUAUUCCAUGCUAUGCUUAUGACAAGUCAGAGAGAAAGUGAUGCUAUUACAAACCUAGAAGCAGGAGAGUACAACUCUAAAACAAAACAAAACAAAAAAACAAGAACAACCACUGUACACACAGCCAACCUGCAAAGGUCACCUUUCAUUUUCUAAUUGUGGAAUAUGAGUAGUGGAAGGAAACCUAAAAUGUUAUCAUCUUUGGUUGGAUGCCUUAUGAUGAAAAAAAUCCUUCUGUGAAUGGCUGAUGUUUAUACCUUAUUGAGCUCCAGAGAAGGAAAUUAAUAUUUUACUAAACACAUGCUUAGCUGAUAAUGAUGCUAAUAAUAUAGCUUUUGUUAUUUAGCAGCGGGGAAAUUACCAUCAUUUUUGUUAUGUUUUGCAUUCUCUGAUAUUUGAAUCUGUAAUACUUGAAUAUUCAAAUGAAUUCUGGUAGUUUAUUUCUGGUCUCCAGAUUUGAAAAACAUACUUCUGAGGUACUUUGUCCACCUAUUAAUUACUUCUCCAAGGUUGAUUUUUUGCAGAUACAGGACAGACUGAAGGAAGACUUCACCUGGAUUCUUUAUUAUUUGUGUGUGUUAAAUUAUAAUUUUUCUCUCAUUUGGUGGCAUAUAGCAACUGUUUGCAUUCUGAUUUUUUAUGCUGUUAAUGGUGUGCCUCCAGGCUUCGAAACACAGGUGCACCGGACGCCAUGCUGCAUGGUUGUGAUUAUAUAUUGUUCGCUGAAGCAAUGUUUCCUCAGCAUCAAGAAUAACGGCACCUAAUGCCUCCUGGAACAUUCCCAGGAGUGUUAUGUGUUGUUAGCAAUCGGAAUGAACCAGAGUAUGAUGAUACACCGAAACUGUGCUUUUUGAAUGUCAUACAUCUAUGAUCUUUCCAAAUGUUAUCUAACUGAUAGCAGGGUUGGUAUCAGGACUUAAGUUUCCAUAUCAAGUUUCUUGAAGUCACAUUACAAGACAUCUGAAUGCAAUCUUCUUCUUUGCAAAAGACUGAGAAAUGCUCCCUUCUACUAGGUGACAUUUCCUUAAGUGCCAUUUCUUCUGUAGGGUGUGACUUUUAGCUUAUUUUUCUAUUACACCAUUUAUUUUAUGGUGCUUUUUAUGUAUUGUAGUCUCUUGCUACAGACUUUGGAGUUUUAUUUCAGCAAUGUUUCCUAAUGUAUCUUAACUGCAUUAUUUGCUUAGUAUUAAUGAAGUCCUUGCAUGGCGUGUAAUUACAACAGUUAGAUGCGAAGUAUGUGGGUCUCCAAGAACAGCAAAUGCAAUUGCUUUUGUUACUUGGUUAUCUUUUAAUUUCCCUCAGGCUGACAAUAUGAUAACUCAUGCAGAGCAUAAGUGUUUUAGAAUUUUAAAGAAAAAUUUAAAAUAUUAAAUUAUUAAUAAACAGCAAGCUGUUGCCUAAUACGGAAUUACU